Molecule: ribosomal RNA, 430 nt
Filed under: Pseudomonadota bacterium
Lineage: Bacteria; Pseudomonadati; Pseudomonadota
Description: Proteobacteria bacterium partial 16S ribosomal RNA
Rfam family: Bacterial small subunit ribosomal RNA
Source: RNAcentral
UGGGGAAUAUUGGACAAUGGGGGGAACCCUGAUCCAGCCAUGCCGCGUGUGUGAAGAAGGCCUUAUGGUUGUAAAGCACUUUAAGCGAGGAGGAGGGUACUGGUAUUAAUACUACCAGCUACUGGACGUUACUCGCAGAAUAAGCACCGGCUAACUCUGUGCCAGCAGCCGCGGUAAUACAGAGGGUGCGAGCGUUAAUCGGAUUUACUGGGCGUAAAGCGUGCGUAGGCGGCUAAUUGAGUCGGAUGUGAAAUCCCCGAGCUUAACUUGGGAAUUGCAUUCGAUACUGGCGAGCUAGAGUAGGGCAGAGGGUGGUGGAAUUUCCUGUGUAGCGGUGAAAUGCGUAGAUAUAGGAAGGAACACCAGUGGCGAAGGCGACCACCUGGGCUCAUACUGACACUGAGGUGCGAAAGCGUGGGGAGCAAACAGG